RNAcentral lists this ribosomal RNA (329 nucleotides) under uncultured eukaryote. Its description in RNAcentral is "partial 18S ribosomal RNA". It matches the Rfam family "Eukaryotic small subunit ribosomal RNA", at positions 1470 to 1796 of the family's 1831-position model. The record is from RNAcentral.
CCCUUAGAUGUUCUGGGCCGCACGCGCGCUACACUGAUGCAUUCAACGAGUCUAAAACCUGCUCUGAUAGGGGUGGGUAAUCUUUUGAAUGUGCAUCGUGAUUGGGAUAGAUGAUUGAAAUUUUUCAUCUUCAACGAGGAAUGCCUAGUAAACGCAAGUCAUCAGCUUGCAUUGAUUACGUCCCUGCCCUUUGUACGCACCGCCUGUCGCUCCUACCGAUUGAAUGAUCCGAUGAAUAUCAUGGAUUGAGGAUGCAAGUAGGUUCACCUAUCUUCAUCUUCGAGAAGUGAAGUAAAUCUUAUCAUUUAGAGGAAGGAGAAGUCGUAACA